GCCGCCGACCCCCACCUUCGACUUCAUCUCUCGUCUCCCCCACACACGCAGUCGAUCAUGUCGGAUGAGGAGCACCAGUUUGAGUCGAAGGCCGAUGCUGGAGCUUCCAAGACGUACCCGCAGCAGGCUGGGACGAUUCGCAAGAGUGGAUACCUUGUGAUCAAGGGGAGGCCCUGCAAGGUUGUUGAGGUCUCGACCUCCAAGACUGGGAAGCAUGGGCAUGCUAAAUGCCACUUUGUGGCUAUAGACAUUUUCAAUGGCAAGAAACUUGAGGAUAUUGUGCCCUCAUCUCAUAAUUGUGAUGUCCCCCAUGUUACUCGUACUGAUUAUCAGCUCAUUGAUAUCUCGGAAGAUGGAUUUGUGAGCCUUCUCACUGAAAAUGGCCAUACAAAGGAUGACCUG
This 402-nucleotide unclassified non-coding RNA is filed under the name Hevea brasiliensis (rubber tree). Lineage: Eukaryota; Viridiplantae; Streptophyta; Magnoliopsida; Malpighiales; Euphorbiaceae. The record is from RNAcentral.